RNAcentral lists this long non-coding RNA (2248 nucleotides) under Anser cygnoides (Swan goose). Its description in RNAcentral is "lncRNA (ENSACDG00005010920.1)". Lineage: Eukaryota; Metazoa; Chordata; Aves; Anseriformes; Anatidae. The record is from RNAcentral.
AAUACAAUCAAAAACAUAAGAGUUUUUGAUGUAUUGAAUACCUUUUGAAAACUUAGUAAAGAAGGUAUUGUACCUACCUAGGCAAUAUCUGUCUUUUUGAAUUGUUUAUGUAGAUAAAUUUAUCAGAAUUACUUCCAGAACCUAAUAAUAAUGAUAAAAAUAAUCCUAUAUAUAUAUAAGUACAGUGUGACAUGCCAGAAGUAUCUUGGAAGGAAAUCCUCUCUACUUCAGUAUGAAGAACUUCAUCAAAUGUUUUCUUGAUUGUUGUGGCACUGAUAUCAGUUUAUAUGUUAAUUGGUUCUAGCUUACCAAAGAAAGGAUGUAUUGUGUCCAUUUUUACCUUGUAAGGAAAAUGGGGUGUCAUCUAAUUCUAAUGUAUAGCAAGUAAAAAACAGAAAUGUGAUAGGAAAUCUACAGGCAGAAAACUUAUAUAUCUGUGCUAAAUGGUAUUUCUCAUUUCCAAAUUGACUUCCUGUAAGACAGCAUCACUAAAAGAAUCACUAAAUUGUCAUAAGGAUCUGGGGGAAAAAAUGUUUUAAAAGUUAAUCACUGUAUCCUGGAUUAAACCAAUAAAAGAAGAUCAUAUCAAUCAGAAAUGAAAAGUUUCAGUAUUUAAAUUUGCCAAACCUCCUCUCCGCACUUUUCCCUCCUAGCGCAAUCUAAACACACCCUUGAAUUACUCUGUUAUUCUGUGAUCUCCAUUCUAUCAACAUUAAUGCUGAUUUCUCCUCUUGUUUCAAGUCUGCAUGGUCAGUUUAAGACUAAGAUAGUCAAAACUAGAUGUUUAUGUUUCUUUCUAAGCCUUUUUGCACUUAUUUUGCAGUUGGCAAUAUUACUGUUCCUGGACUCACAAAUAACCUUUGUUAAGAAGAAGGCCCCUGCCUUCAUAAGCAUCUUCACUUUUGGAGAUGGUUGCCAGUUUUUAAGACUAAACUACAGAAGAAGAUAGGUAAGAAACAUAGCAUCUUGUUCUGGAAGUUCAUUAAGGUAGUGUGAAGUAAUCUGUCACUGACCACAGUAAAUUUAAGAGAAAGAGGAAAACACCAGAAGCAGAAAACUGGAUACACAGGUGAAACAGGAUCAGAUCAGAAAUCAUGAGCUACAGGGGCAGAGAUCAAAAACACCCUAAGGGACUCUAAUCUGAGAUCACAGUGUUUCAAACUGCUGAGGAAACUGAGACAAGGGAAAGCAUGUAGGUGUUUUAUCUAGAUUUGUAUACUUAUCCUAAUAUAGAAGGUGUGGAGAUUUGGUAUCCUUGUAGGAUCUAUAUGGUUGGUUGUUGUAGCUAUCGUUUGCCCUGAAGUGGUGAACUAUCCCUCCUAUCCCUUUUUUUUUUUUUUUUUUUUUACGGGUAGUCAAUCCUAAUCUGGUGAUUGCAGCGCUGCGAGAUUGCAUAUUCUUUCUUCUGUGAAGAGUAAUGAUGAGGAAUGCUUUUCAAAACAGCCUACGGUGGCAACGGAAACAAGGAGUCCUCAGAUCUAAUACUGUGGAAGGAACUUUAAACUUCAUUGUGACAGGACCUAAACAGAGUAAUUGUUCUGAGAGAGCAGUAUUAAAGCUCAUUUGUCUCUCUGUAUUUGUGGUAUUGCUUUAUACACAGGUUCUGAUCUAGGUGGCUGCUACCCUAAGUGUUAUUGCUAUAUUUUUUUCUGAAAAAAUCCGAAACCUGGGCAACUUAAAUUUUUCUGACACAUUUCUGAAGUAAUAUCCCAGAAAUCCCCAGGAAUGAUGCAAUGCCUUAAUUUCCUAUUUUCAAAGUGAAUUGAAUGAGAUUGUUUAUCUCACACACACACACACACAAGCAGGUAUAGCAUGUAACCAUUCUUUCUAUUCAUUCUUUCUGGUAGGUAUGAAAGAGUAAGAAACUUUUCAGAACUGGUGACAUGAGGUUGAAAUUCUCUAAAACUGUUUUAACCUUUGGGUUCAUCUUUUGCUUGAUAGAGCUUUCUUUAUGAUUUAGCCAGUUUAUAGUCUGUAACAAUUUGAGCCUUUAUCCAGCAGCCAUUAUCUCCUGAGUUCUACCCAGGACUGAGUUUUCCUAUUUAAACCAUUUCUGUGUAUAUUUCCCAUAUAAAGACCUGUAUCACUGGAAUAUUAUGAGACACACAUAGCAAAUGCACAGUUUGCAUUUGCAAACCAUCCUGAAACUGCAGAAGGGCGUUUAUACAUUCUCUGUGCUUUAUGGUACAAGCCUGUUAGAAUUACAAGUUUAAAUAAAAGUUUCACAAGUAUUUUGAAAGCUUUGGAA